Molecule: ribosomal RNA, 465 nt
Filed under: uncultured bacterium
Lineage: Bacteria
Description: partial 16S ribosomal RNA
Rfam family: Bacterial small subunit ribosomal RNA
Source: RNAcentral
GACGAACGCUGGCGGCGUGCUUAACACAUGCAAGUCGAACGGAAAGGCCCCUUCGGGGGUACUCGAGUGGCGAACAGGUGAGUAACACGUGAGUAACCUGCCCUUGACUUCGGGAUAACUUCAGGAAACUGGGGCUAAUACCGGAUAGGAAUCCUUGCUGCAUGGUGGGGGUUGGAAAGCUUCGGCGGUUUUGGAUGGACUCGCGGCUUAUCAGCUUGUUGGUGGGGUAGUGGCUUACCAAGGCUUUGACGGGUAGCCGGCCUGAGAGGGCGACCGGCCACAUUGGGACUGAGAUACGGCCCAGACUCCGACGGGAGGAAGCAGUGGGGAAUAUUGCACAAUGGGCGGAAGCCUGAUGCAGCAACGCCGCGUGCGGGAUGACGGCCUUCGGGUUGUAAACCGCUUUCAGCAGGGGCGAAGCUUGUGGUGACGGUACCUGCAGAAGAAGCACCGGCUAACUACGUG